UGUUGGGUUAAGUCCCGCAACGAGCGCAACCCUUGUCUUUAGUUGCCAUCAUUAAGUUGGGCACUCUAGAGAGACUGCCAGGGAUAACCUGGAGGAAGGUGGGGAUGACGUCAAAUCAUCAUGCCCCUUAUGCUUAGGGCUACACACGUGCUACAAUGGGUAGUACAGAGGGUUGCCAAGCCGUAAGGUGGAGCUAAUCCCUUAAAGCUACUCUCAGUUCGGAUUGUAGGCUGAAACUCGCCUACAUGAAGCUGGAGUUACUAGUAAUCGCAGAUCAGAAUGCUGCGGUGAAUGCGUUCCCGGGUCUUGUACACACCGCCCGUCACACCACGGGAGUUGGAG
Molecule: ribosomal RNA, 342 nt
Filed under: Clostridioides difficile
Lineage: Bacteria; Bacillati; Bacillota; Clostridia; Peptostreptococcales; Peptostreptococcaceae
Description: bacterial SSU rRNA
Rfam family: Bacterial small subunit ribosomal RNA
Source: RNAcentral